AAAGGCGGAUUUAUCUGCCGCUCAUGGAUGGGCCUGCGGUGCAUUAGCUAGUUGGUGAGAUAGUAGCUCACCAAGGCGACGAUGCAUAGCCGACCUGAGAGGGUGAUCGGCCACACUGGGACUGAGACACGGCCCAGACUCCUACGGGAGGCAGCAGUAGGGAGUCUUCCGCAAUGGACGCAAGUCUGACGGAGCAACGCCGCGUGAGUGAUGAAGGGUUUCGGCUCGUAAAACUCUGUUGUUAAGGAAGAACACUUGAGGUAGUAACUGGCCUUGAGAUGACGGUA
This 287-nucleotide ribosomal RNA is filed under the name uncultured bacterium. RNAcentral describes it as "partial 16S ribosomal RNA". It matches the Rfam family "Bacterial small subunit ribosomal RNA", at positions 202 to 477 of the family's 1533-position model. The record is from RNAcentral.